GACGAACGCUGGCGGCGUGCCUAACACAUGCAAGUUGAGCGACGAACCAGGGCUUGCCCUGGGGCAAAGCAGCGAACGGGUGAGUAACACGUGGGUAACCUACCCCGAUAACCGGGACAACCCGAGGAAACUCGGGCUAAUACCGGAUGUGCUCACUGGACUUCGGUUCAGUGCGUAAAGGAAGCUUCGGCCUCCGUAUCGGGAGGGGCCCGCGGCCCAUUAGUUUGUUGGUGAGGUAACGGCUCACCAAGACCGCGAUGGGUAGCUGGUCUGAGAGGACGAUCAGCCACACUGGGACUGAGACACGGCCCAGACUCCUACGGGAGGCAGCAGUGGGGAAGCUUGCGCAAUGCGCGAAAGCGUGACGCAGCAACGCCGCGUGGGGGAAGAAGGCCUUCGGGUUGUAAACCCCGUUCAGGAGGGACGAAGGUUCGGCGGUGAAUAGCCGUCCGGACUGACGGUACCUCCACAAGAAGCCCCGGCUAACUACGUGC
RNAcentral lists this ribosomal RNA (494 nucleotides) under uncultured bacterium. Its description in RNAcentral is "partial 16S ribosomal RNA". It matches the Rfam family "Bacterial small subunit ribosomal RNA", at positions 28 to 508 of the family's 1533-position model. The record is from RNAcentral.